AAAAAAACAAAUAAGGACAUAUAUAUAUAUAUAGCGGAGGCAGAGUUACAAACCAGGGAAAGUGGCAUGUCGAGCAAAGUCUACAAAUUUAAUUUACAUAGAUACAUACAAUAGAUUAAACUGGAGAGAAAAGAAAAGUUGCAACAGAACAGUUUGGUACAAUAUGACACAGGUGCCAAGAACAAAAUAAGAAGCAUACGAGCAAACGCAGCAAGGCAAGAAGCAUCAGCGUGGUGUCAAACAACCAAAUGAAGGAGUAGGGUCUGUACAUCACGGUUGUAAGAACAAAAGGGUCAUAGCA
This 301-nucleotide long non-coding RNA is filed under the name Linum usitatissimum (flax). RNAcentral describes it as "long non-coding RNA (LUSI_LNC001510)". Lineage: Eukaryota; Viridiplantae; Streptophyta; Magnoliopsida; Malpighiales; Linaceae. The record is from RNAcentral.